Molecule: ribosomal RNA, 228 nt
Filed under: uncultured bacterium
Lineage: Bacteria
Description: partial 16S ribosomal RNA
Rfam family: Bacterial small subunit ribosomal RNA
Source: RNAcentral
AGUAACACGUAAGUAAUCUACCUUCGAGUGGGGAAUAACGUCCGGAAACGGACGCUAAUACCGCAUAAUGCAGCGGCAUCGCAAGAUGACAGUUGUUAAAGAAUUUAUUCGCUUGAAGAGGAGCUUGCGGCAGAUUAGCUAGUUGGUAGGGUAAUGGCUUACCAAGGCUACGAUCUGUAACCGGUCUAAGAGGACGGUCGGUCACACUGACACUGAAUAACGGGUCAG